Molecule: unclassified non-coding RNA, 4943 nt
Filed under: Penaeus chinensis
Lineage: Eukaryota; Metazoa; Arthropoda; Malacostraca; Decapoda; Penaeidae
Description: putative uncharacterized protein DDB_G0271982, transcript variant X16
Source: RNAcentral
UAGCCAUUAGCUCAUGAUUGGAAAUAAUUGUACAUUAAGAGAGACUGGCUUGUCAUAUGAACAUACAUGGAUGACCUGGUUGUUGAGAAGCUGGGCAAGGCUGUCAAUGGAAAACUACUAGAUACAUAAAAAACAUGGCUGUGUAGUAGAUUUCACAAAGAGAUGACAAAGGAAGCUGAUUGUGAAAUCUGAGACACAACAAACCCAAAGUAGCAAAAAGUUCCUAUCUCCAGUCAUUACUUCCCAAAUACCAUUCAAGCUGCACUUUGUAAAACACAAGCAAACACAGAAGAAAUAAAGAGACCUAUUCUUUGCCUAUAUGAGUGUAGUUUGUAAUGUGCAAAACUUAGAGUGAAUUAGCUUCUGUAGAACGUCUGUGUUGUUCUGUAUACUAAAAAAAAUAACAAAAAAAAAAUACAAGUACAAUUGCCUUUGAAAGAAAAAUAAUAAUAAUAAUAAUAAAUGAUAAAAUAAAGCCACAUGAAGUAUUAUGCAUGCAAAUGAUUUUUAAUAUUAAAAAGGACAGACUCACAAACAAGUAACUAGUGUGGGACUGCAUUUUUUGUUGUGAAGUUGCCUGGCUGUGAUGAAGUGAUGCUUGUGAAGAUUUGAGCAAUUUUUCCAGCAAGUCAGGAGGAGAACUGAGCAAGGAAAGGAUAAGGCCAUUAUAGCUUAAGAAAGUGUGUUUUCUUUUGCAGGAAAGGAGUGAAGUGAAACAUUUUACUUACUUUUGUGAGAGAAAAAAAUAGUAAUAAUAACUUAAGAAAUCAUGGAAGGCAUGGAUGAGAUUGCACCAGGCCUUGGUUUACAGGAGUUCUGUAGCCAACAGGGAGACAGUACUAUAUAUUACCACCUUUUAAACCUAUCAGGCAGCGUGUAUGUCUGGGUAGGCACUGAGCAGGGCAACUUGGAGGGCAUGGUGGCAGCUCUAGGGUCCCGCCUGGGACCUUCAGCUGUUACCACUCUCCUCGGCUCUUCCGAUUCCCAGAGUCUCCAAGCUUCCCAUCUUGCAGAGAGGUUACAAAGGCGCACACAAAGGCACAUCCUACUGAGCCUCAACCUGCCCAGUGACGAAUUAAUACCUCAUGUGGAGCAGCGCCUGCUGGAGGAGCUCUGUGUCGUAUAAAGGCCAAGGCUCAUGAAAUUAUUUCGCUGUUUGACUGCCCAAAAGAUCCCCAAACCCACCCAUCCACCCCCCAAAUUCUCAGUAUAUAUAUUUUUUUUUUGUCAUAUGCUAUAUGGCCUUAUAUUUGUUGUUUGAUUUUUGUAUUUUUUUAUUAUUAUUAUUUCAACUACAAUUAUGCAUUAAGUAAUAAAUAAAUGUCUGUCUGAUCUAAAUACAAGAACAUAAUUUUACUUGUAAAUAUUGUACUUAUAUAUUUUUUGUCUUUUGACUACAGUUGCAGUAUAUUUAUGUUGUAGGAUAAGGACAAUCUACUUAAUCACAUUGAGCAAGUAUGUUGCCUUAAUGGGAAGAUAGGGUACCCCUUUUCCAGCCUAUUAUUAGUCUUCCAGAAUUAGAAGAUAAAAAAAGAUGUAGAGUCUUGGCCUAUAUACUCACAAAGCUUGAUAAUAGUAUAUUGUGUUCAAUGUUGAAAAUUAAGGAAAAAAGGUAUAUCAAUGUUGGAAACACAAUGGUCUUUAGAACAGAAGGCUUAUGCAGUCAUUUAUGCAAAAAUAAAUACAGAAAUAUCGAGCCAAUGCUAAGAAGCUGCUUGUACUACCAAUGGAUUGACCUUGUAUGCACUGGCUAGCCUCCCCUGAUUAUGUCAACUAUAUAUUCUGUUCAGCAGUAAUUAUGUGAUAAGACUGCUCUCUCUUCAGUGAGAAAGUUCUGCAGCAUUGCCUUCACUGCAUAUAGCUUUCCAAGAUCUUCUGCUUGUCUGAAGAAACUGGUGAUUGCACAGCUAUUUAAGUCCACAAAUUUAAGUGGUGCAUACAAGUGAUAAUUGAAGGUAUGAUAUUAAUGUACUAUAUCAGGGUAGAUGUUAAGUUCCUCUUUAUUUUUACAGAAGCUUUUUUGUAAUCUCCUUUAUAGAGUUUUUUUUUAAUAUAAAUUUCUGUAUAUUUGUCCUAUGCAAUAGGUGGUAAUAACUAGCAGUCUUUUUGCUUCCCAAUUUGUAGUUACUACCUCACAGGUGAUAGAUUAAUGAAAAGACAUUCCCUGUAGCCCGUGACUCGUUAGGCAGCUCAGGAAACACAGGGGAAGCUGCUGGAGAGGCCAAGCACUACAAACCCUGCAUUUAAGGAUAAACACCUGUAUAAUGAUAACACACUUUGAUAUGCAUUUUGUUGUGAUUUAAUGAAGCAAGUGAAGUAGUUCUUGCAACAUAGAAUAACCAUGAAAGUGGGAUUUUGUUGUAGAUAUGCUUGUGCCUCCUCUGCAGCUUCCUCCAUCCUUAAUUUCCCACAGUAUCAGAAAUCCCCCGCCAUAUGUGAACCCCCUGUGCCACCUCGCAGCUUUUGACAACAGUGCUGGUGUGGUUGUGAAUUGGUGAUCACAAUAGAUGUUUAGGUAUGCAUAAUGUAAAUCUCUAGUAUUUUUCACUUAAUUUACCUCUGAUUUUUAUUUGAUUUUGGCAUAUAUUUUUCCUAUUGGAAGACACAGUUACAUGACUGAUGUAUACUUAAGUUGAUUUUAAAACAGACUUGAACUUUUGUUGUGAUCAAUAUCUGUGCCAUGAUUAGGUCCUUUCCUGGACCUUGAAGUGUGAUAACUGAAUGUUGAUGUGCCUGGAAACCAGUCAUAGCAUUGAACAUAUUGUUUAUUGACAUGAUCAGUAUUAUCAUAAUUCGUGAUAUUGAGUACUCCCCUUUGAGGAAUCUCAUAUGAUCAUGCUAUGGUUGGUCUCCUCCCCCAGCACUGGCUGUCACUUGGUGAUGUCUUGGUGUGUAUUGUGGUUUUUCAAGUCAACUUUUGCUCCAGCUUUUGGUUUCCCGUCUCAUUUACUUUGAUUUAUUUGUUCAAAAUUUUACUCAACUUGUGUUCUUAGAGUACUUUUACAUACACCCAAGACUCACUUCCAUGCUUAAUGAUGUAGUCCUGAUGAAGCCUCAGGGUAGAGGGUUCGCUCCCCGGUAAUGUGGGUCCUAUGUUGAGGCCUCCUUUGGCCCUCGCACAAGUGAUAGAUUAAUUAGUUUAGUUUUAUCUCACACUGAGCAAUUCAUAUUAAUUUAAUUACAGAGAGGAUAGAUAGUCACCCAAAGUACUGUACUUUGUUCUCAAAGUGGCCACACCCAUCUACAUCAAAAGGAUGUAGUAGAGGUUGUGACAUUUUUCCAAGACAAUCAUUUCUUUUUUAUCAAUUAUUUCUGUGUUAUAUUUCAAUCAAUAAAGAUUUUAGUUUUAAAUAAGUUAUAGGGAAAUCUUGUGUGUUCCAAUUUCUAGUUGAUGUGCGAGGAGUUCUAGGGAGGUCCAAGCAGCAAGUUGCUGCUGUGAAGUCGUGAUAGUGUCAAAUGCUAGUCUGACGGUGGGGAGCAAAGCCUCCGUCCCAAACCCACCCUUCUACCUCCUGACCCAUAUUUUAUCCCAUCAGUCACCCUUGCCUACCAUGAGCAUUCUGCAGAAGUUUUAAACACUACUGAUUUUAAAAUAAGUUUUGUGAUGUUAGCAGGUGUAAGUGGUGUGGCAUUGGGCUAUCUGAUUCUGUGUGUGAGAUUAGUUCCUAUGUUCUACACAUGGAAGCAGAAUCCAAACCAUUCCUACCAGAGCCCAGUUCAAAGAUGGACUGGAGCAGCCAUGUCGCAACCCAAGUUCCUCGCCUAAACAGGUUCCUCUCCCCUUUAGCAAAUCCUGCCCCUUUAGCUCCAACUGUAUUUUAUUUUGCCAAUCCUGUCCCAGACUCUUGUAUGAUUAGUAAAUGCCAGAUUCCAGUCGCAGACUGAAGAUUUUAUGCAAUUACUGCUAGUUCUUGAUUUUAUAACAUUUAUUUGCAAAAGAUAAUUAAAUCACAGAAUUAUUUUAUAGCAGUAGUUACAUCAGUAUUCUCAGUCUGAAUUGUUUAAAGGAAGUUAGAUAAUGCCAGUAAGAAUGCAUGAGAGGGAUAUUAUUUUCAUAAUGGUUUUGACACAGUACCCUGAAGGUAUUACAUAACCAGGUAUUAAACAUUCCUUUGCUUACAGGAAACAGGUGAAGUGCAAAAAAGUUUAUGCUAUCCAUGAAACAAUAGGGAGAAAUAGCUCCCACUGCUAUGCACAAGUUAACAUUGCACAUUGGAGCAUUUGGCACAAACUGUCGAGGUUGGAGAGUUGCCUCCUGUGAUAGGCAUUUGUUUUUACAACUAAUGUACUCGCAUGUGCGUGCCACGGAAUCACCCACCUGGUGAGGUAGAGCCUUGGCUGAAGAUGUGGGUGGCUGGAUGAUGACCAUAUAGGUGCAUUGUAGAUAUGAUUGGUCAGGGCAAGAUUAUACAUUUUUUUGCUCCAGCAAAUGGGAAAAUUGUUUCACCAGUUAAAUAAGGAUGGAUAUCUCGCCCCAACCUAAUAGUACAGGCACCUGGCACUCUAGCUGCACGCACCAGUAGGGCCCAGCAUGUGUGCCUGAGGGCCCGCCCAUUAUGCAAACAUAUUUUGAAUUAAGUGAAGCAAUAUUAUGUUUUGUCUAUUGCUGUUAUUGGAGAAAAUGGUUAUCUUGUGAAUUUUGAACAAAAAAGAAUAGUAAUCAUUUUGUACAUGGUAAGAGAUGAAAAUCUAGAAGCUGAAAUUAUUCACUAGGAAAUUCUGUGCUAUUUUUAGAGAGUCUCUAGUUUGUGUACUUUGUUAUAUAUCUGGAUGAUGUAGUCUUGUACGAGAUAUAUGAAGUGGUAGGGAGUAACUUCAAAGUGUCGUGAUUAUAUUUAGAGUAGGAGGAAGAUGGUAGGGACUAGACAGUAUAGUCAGUGCUGAGCUGAUAUAUAUGCAACAUGUAGUUUGAAAUACUCAAAAAUAAAGAUCAGAUCAGACAA